UGGUUUUUCUUCAGAUCGUAUAAAUCUUUCGCCUUUUACUAAAGAUUUCCGUGGAAAUAUAUAUUAUA
Molecule: small nuclear RNA, 68 nt
Organism: Anolis carolinensis (green anole)
Lineage: Eukaryota; Metazoa; Chordata; Lepidosauria; Squamata; Anolidae
Gene: U5
Rfam family: U5 spliceosomal RNA
About the family: U5 RNA is a component of both types of known spliceosome.
Source: Ensembl